UACGAAGGGGGCUAGCGUUGCUCGGAAUCACUGGGCGUGAAGGGUGCGUAGGCGGGGCUUUAAGUCAGGGGUGAAAUCCUGGAGCUCAACUCCAGAACUGCCUUUGAUACUGAAGAUCUUGAGUUCGGGAGAGGUGAGUGGAACUGCGAGUGUAGAGGUGAAAUUCGUAGAUAUUCGCAAGAACACCAGUGGCGAAGGCGGCUCACUGGCCCGGUACUGACGCUGAGGUGCGAAAGCGUGGGGAGCAAACAGG
Molecule: ribosomal RNA, 253 nt
Filed under: uncultured bacterium
Lineage: Bacteria
Description: partial 16S ribosomal RNA
Rfam family: Bacterial small subunit ribosomal RNA
Source: RNAcentral